GAUGAAGAACGUAGCGAAAUGCGAUACGUAAUGUGAAUUGCAGAAUUCAGUGAAUCAUCGAGUCUUUGAACGCACAUUGCGCCCACUGGUAUUCCGGGGGGCAUGCCUGUCCGAGCGUCAUUGCUGCCCUCAAGCACGGCUUGUGUGUUGGGCCUCCGUCCUCCUCCCGGGGGACGGGCCCGAAAGGCAGCGGCGGCACCGCGUCCGGUCCUCGAGCGUAUGGGGCUUCGUCACCCGCUCUUGUAGGCCCGGCCGGCGCUUGCCGACACAUCAAUCUUUUUUCCAGGUUGACCUCGGAUCAGGUAGGGAUACCCGCUGAACUUAAGCAUAUCAAUAAGCGGAGG
Molecule: unclassified non-coding RNA, 344 nt
Filed under: soil metagenome
Description: partial contains 5.8S ribosomal RNA, internal transcribed spacer 2, and large subunit ribosomal RNA
Rfam family: 5.8S ribosomal RNA (bases 1-120)
Source: RNAcentral